RNAcentral lists this long non-coding RNA (768 nucleotides) under Nicotiana benthamiana. RNAcentral's name for it is "long non-coding RNA (NBEN_LNC018142)". The record is from RNAcentral. Lineage: Eukaryota; Viridiplantae; Streptophyta; Magnoliopsida; Solanales; Solanaceae.
CCUUCAAUUCAAUACUUUUAUACUUCAGACUUCACAACUCUUCUAAACUCAUAACAUUCUGAUUGCUCGUUUUCACUUUGGCUUUACAAGACUACUGCUUCUUUUUACUUGUUUACUUAAAACUGGUAUGUUCUUGUUUUAGCUCUUAGCACCACUCUAAUGUGUUUACUUACAACCUUUACAUUUAUUUCUACUUUACUAUUUAUGCGAAGUUAAAUGUUAACUAUGCAUGUUCUUUUCUUUCAUCUGUUUCUAUUGUGAAUCCCUACCCCCUGUUCCUUUUUAUGUGUUUGAGUUAAAGUUCAGAGCAUGGAAACAUCAGAAUUGUUGCUCAUGUUUGGACGUGACCCUUUAAGGGGUCCUAACUUCCAAAUAAUGUGUCCAACAGGAUGGUUGGGGUAUGCCAGUAGCUCCAAUUGUUGGGUAAGACCACCCGCUUGUAUUGGCUCUCCCCAGAAUCCCCUCUAUUGCACUCACACUCAUUCCUAUCUUCUAAGUUCUGCCCCCUCCUAUGAGUCAUGCUUUGGGACCUUAAGUUCCCUCUGAACUUGGACACUUGAGGGCUGACCCUUCCACACUACACUAUGUCUCAAUUCUGCUAUGAAUUUGGGGGUAAGCACUGCCCGGAGUCCAGGAGGCUCUUGGGAACUCUGACACACCCAAAAAAUAAGAAAGGCUUUGGAUUUGGAUCUUUGGAGUUGGUCUACUGCAUGCUUCAGGAAGGAAACCUAAAUCAGGCUCUCCUUGGUUGGAAUUUUUAGUUUUUUC